AUAAUACACAAACUUACGCAAUGGCAGCCUAAACAGCACCAUGCGUGCCUGAUUUUUGCUCACUGAUGGCAAUUUGACGGCCUAAACUUUUAGUCAGAUACGUUGUUGUGGAGACUUGACGCAGCAAAAGAGAUUUAAAGUCCCGCAAAAUGUCGCUGUUUGAGACUGGCUUUGGCAUUUUGUUAAAUUUGAGAAAGUCCUAUGGUUGUAGACGUUGAUGUAGCAAGGUGUUUGGACAGGGGUUCGACUCCCCUCGCCUCCAUUA
Molecule: transfer-messenger RNA, 265 nt
Filed under: Lactococcus lactis
Lineage: Bacteria; Bacillati; Bacillota; Bacilli; Lactobacillales; Streptococcaceae
Description: partial transfer-messenger RNA
Rfam family: transfer-messenger RNA
About the family: Bacterial tmRNA, also known as 10Sa RNA or SsrA, is named for its dual tRNA and mRNA-like properties. Its role is to liberate the mRNA from a stalled ribosome.
Source: RNAcentral